ACAGAGACCUUGCAAACUGAAAUGUGUGUCGUCACCCUUCAAUUAAUCUGACGCUUUCAGUGGAGACUCCAGUACGGAAAUUUGUUCGUGAAUUUUUCAUUAUUUUAGGUAGAUUCUACAUCUGUAUACAACUUAUGAAAGGUCUAAGUUUCACUGCUUGAAAUAGAAUUUGAAUAGUUCGCCACCUUGAGGCGGAUUUAUUUUUAUUAGCCUCCUGGCGGGUUAAAACUACAAACAGGAACAGCGACUGUCAAGUUUGGAUGGUAACUAAUUAGUGUGUGCUAUUCCAAGCUGAAUCUGCCGGACUCGUCUUAAGCAGUCUUGAUUUCUUGAAUCGUCAUCAAGAAAUCCUUUGUCAUUAAAACGUGUUUGUUAAAUCAGCAAAUCUUUAGAAAAAGAGGGUGACAAGAAGAACAGUCACGAAUCUUCACAAGGAGGAAGCAGAACUUCAUUGUGGGAGAGCAAGAUGGCGGAAGCACUCCCAGGCACCUCCAACUCCUCCGGGCCUCACUACUGUCAAGAUCAUGGCAGUGGUGUACUUUAAAAUCCACCACUUCCACAACCCCCAAGACGAGGCUCCAUGCCUUCGUGAAAGCGGCUGCUGAACUCUAUCCUCCACCCCUUUAAGGUCACAUUGGUGUUAGUGGAUUCAAGACAUUUGAAUACAUGCAUCGAUAAUGCAUUCGCAGUGUACCCCAACUUAUUGCAUUAAAAUUCAUAAUUUACCCAAACCAGAGUGCUGUGCAGUAUCUAAUAUCUGGCCUGUUGCUGUCAAGAGUGAAAUCCUUCACUUUUCUACAGUAAAUUACGUAAUGCCUUUCAACCUGAUAAGCUGGAUGGAAAGAUUAGUUUAAUUUCCUGCACCUCAGUAAGAAAAUAGUUUCAUUGUGAAUCAUCUUGAACACUUAUACAUCAAAUCCUAAAAUCUUGAUUUGCAAUAUUUAUUAGCAAUGCAAAUAAGGUGGAAAUAGAAUACUGUGAAUAUCUAACAGCUCAGUUGCUAAAGGAUUGUAAUGUCAGGGCACCUUAUUUAUUACCUCGUAUAAUCUGUGAAAUGCAUUGUAUAUAUCAGGUAGUAGCUUGUUGUCUAUUACUAUCAGUUUUUGUUCAGGAACAGUCUCGGCAAACCGGGCACUUGAAAGUGCAUUUGACUGAUUUCUAUUAGCUGCUAAAUUUCGUCUUUCUGUUUAUGGAAUUGUGCUGUUACCAGAUCUAAAAAUUACGUAAUGCCAUACCUGCACGAAUGUAGAAAAAAGGCUAAAACACUAAGGCCUUCUGGUCAGCUAAAGUUUUGGCAUCCACAUAUAUAGGUGUUUAAUUCCUUGCCACCACUGUCUUUUGCUCAGGACUACUGAAGAGUUACUCUAUAAGUACUUUGUACUAUACAUGUGUAGGCAAUGUGUAAUCCUACUCUUGACACUUAAAUCAUUCAACCCUUCAUCUCACAAGACUACACAAAGAACCAGUUUAAAGGAAGUAAAUUAAAAACCAGUGUCAAUUUGAGUUCGUCAAUAUUUAUUCCCAUCCUUACUGUUGGUGUCCACGAACUGUAAGUUUGAGAGUCACUCGACAAUCUAUUCACCUCAAAGUAGUGAAUGUGGCUGUUUCACAGGGAUUUAUCAGUGCCAGCAUAAGAGCACAGAUAGUUUCAUCAGUUGUAUGUACAACAACAUUCCAAGUCUCAUUAAGGUGACUGAUCUUUUUGGUCAAAGCCAGAAUAAUGGGAAUCUAAAUGAAAGUACAUGUGCCAAAAAGACAUAGAAACCUGGUGUUCCUGGUGUUUAGGAAUACACAGAUUAAAAGUUGUUUACGAUUAAUUAGUCUAGUUGGAGAACUUUAUGAUUAAUUAGUUUAGCUGGAGAACUUUUGUAAAUAUAUCUUAUUUUCAUACCGCAGCAGCAAGUUUGUAUUAAAUACUUGACAUAUGUAAAUCUUUAAAUACUACAGGUAUGUAAAUCUUAAUAUCACCUACCCAUUUUCAUAACCAACUGCUUCUUGAAUGGAUUUGUUAAUAAACUGGAGUAUUGAAAUUUUUCACUUGAAUGGAUUAGGUCC
Molecule: long non-coding RNA, 2055 nt
Organism: Macrobrachium nipponense
Lineage: Eukaryota; Metazoa; Arthropoda; Malacostraca; Decapoda; Palaemonidae
Exons: 3
Source: RefSeq, a predicted model, not a curated record